CCGAUGGUAGUGGGUUAACAGAACUUAUUAACAUUAGUGUCACUAACGUUGGUAUACCACCCCCCACUGCUAAAUUUG
This 78-nucleotide small RNA is filed under the name Tupaia belangeri (northern tree shrew). RNAcentral describes it as "Y RNA (ENSTBEG00000019276.1)". It matches the Rfam family "Y RNA", at positions 8 to 85 of the family's 96-position model. From Rfam's summary of the family: Y RNAs are components of the Ro ribonucleoprotein particle (Ro RNP), in association with Ro60 and La proteins. The record is from RNAcentral. Lineage: Eukaryota; Metazoa; Chordata; Mammalia; Scandentia; Tupaiidae.